CCUGGGUUCACGUCAUUCUCCUGCCUCAGCCUCCCGAAUAGCUGGGACUACAGGCACCAGCACCAUGCCCACCUAAUUUCUUGUAUUUUUGGUGGAGACGGGGUUUCUGAACUCUUAUUUAUUUAUUCACUUGUCUAUUUCCUUUUCCUCUCUCUUCCCAGCUCCUGCUUCUUCGUCACAGGUACACCAGGGCAUCCAGCACAUUGAUUUGUCCCCACUCGCCUUAGCCUGUCUCCUGCCACAGUUGUCUCAUUUUGGUGAAGUGCGUGUCCAGAUUUCCCCAUGCUCCCAGCUGCAACAUGGAUCCAUUCCUUCCGUCUGGAUACAGGGCAGCAGAAAUCAGCAGAAUGCUUUUAUUCACAGAGCUGAAUGCCU
Molecule: long non-coding RNA, 375 nt
Filed under: Homo sapiens (human)
Lineage: Eukaryota; Metazoa; Chordata; Mammalia; Primates; Hominidae
Description: HSALNT0037825
Source: RNAcentral